GAUGAACGCUAGCUACAGGCUUAACACAUGCAAGUCGAGGGGAAACGACAUCGAAAGCUUGCUUUUGAUGGGCGUCGACCGGCGCACGGGUGAGUAACGCGUAUCCAACCUGCCCACCACUUGGGGAUAACCUUGCGAAAGUAAGACUAAUACCCAAUGACGUCUCUAGAAGACAUCUGAAAGAGAUUAAAGAUUUAUCGGUGAUGGAUGGGGAUGCGUCUGAUUAGCUUGUUGGCGGGGUAACGGCCCACCAAGGCGACGAUCAGUAGGGGUUCUGGGAGGAAGGUCCCCAACAGUGGCACGGAGACACGGUCCAAACUCCUACGGGAGGCAGCAGUGAGGAAUAUUGGUCAAUGGUCGAGAGCCUGAACCAGCCAAGUAGCGUGCAGGAUGACGGCCCUAUGGGUUGUAAACUGCUUUUAUAGGGGAAUAAAGUGAGUCUCGUGAGACUUUUUGCAUGUACCUUAUGAAUAAGGACCGGCUAAUUCCGUGCCAGCCGCCGCCGCAG
RNAcentral lists this ribosomal RNA (508 nucleotides) under uncultured bacterium. Its description in RNAcentral is "partial 16S ribosomal RNA". It matches the Rfam family "Bacterial small subunit ribosomal RNA", at positions 28 to 523 of the family's 1533-position model. The record is from RNAcentral.